This 450-nucleotide ribosomal RNA is filed under the name uncultured bacterium. RNAcentral's name for it is "partial 16S ribosomal RNA". It matches the Rfam family "Bacterial small subunit ribosomal RNA", at positions 354 to 796 of the family's 1533-position model. The record is from RNAcentral.
GUGGGGAAUUUUGGACAAUGGGCGCAAGCCUGAUCCAGCAAUGCCGCGUGCAGGAAGAAGGCCUUCGGGUUGUAAACUGCUUUUGUACGGAACGAAACGGUCCUGGUUAAUACCUGGGGCUAAUGACGGUACCGUAAGAAUAAGCACCGGCUAACUACGUGCCAGCAGCUGCGGUAAUACGUAGGGUGCGAGCGUUAAUCGGAAUUACUGGGCGUAAAGCGUGCGCAGGCGGUGCUGUAAGACAGGCGUGAAAUCCCCGGGCUCAACCUGGGAAUUGCGCUUGUGACUGCAGUGCUGGAGUACGGCAGAGGGGGAUGGAAUUCCGCGUGUAGCAGUGAAAUGCGUAGAUAUGCGGAGGAACACCGAUGGCGAAGGCAGUCCCCUGGGCCUGUACUGACGCUCAUGCACGAAAGCGUGGGGAGCAAACAGGAUUAGAAACCCUAGUAGUCC